UUUUUUUUUUUUUUGUCAAAUAUUUUCUGGGAGUUUAGAAUUGGGAUUAACUUGCGGUUAAAGCACCUGCCGCCACUGACUCGGGCUUUUAGUCUUGGCUUUUGGGGUAAUUUACGAGGAGGAGAAUUUUUUUUUAACAUAUAUGACUUACUGGUUAAUUUCAAAUCUUAAAUCGACCAUUGUUAUUCGAAGUUGAGGAGGUAAUUUUGUGAUUUGUGUGCUUGGCAAGGAUUAUGCAGAAGAGGUUUGACGUUUGUUGGAGGUAACUCAUAACAAGAUUUUUUGCAUGUGAUUGCAAGCUAUGAAUGAAUGAUGUGUUCUUUCUUUCGUGGGGUCUUUUCAGCGCUUUGAGGGAUUCACAAUCAUGUUUUCUUGUCAUUGCAAACUCUUCGGCGAUGGUAUGAUAGUUACCUUGUGUGUCUUGACAGUGUUAUGUUUGAUGACUCAUAGGGCUUAGGCCUUGUGAGUUUAUCUUUCAUGUGAUCGAGGAAUCAUACAUUGAAGAGUUUAUUUUGUACUGUGUUGUGAUUUUGUUGUCUGUUCGCUUAGCAAAAGACUAUAGGAACAUCUUCGAGAUGUCUCAUACCAAGGCUUCUUGCCGAAUAAGCGUUGUCUUUUACAAGUUCAUCAUCAACACAUGGUGUAAGGUUUUAUCUUCGUAAGAGUUACCUUUCCGUUUGGUUAGAUGGGUUUAUGUGGAGUAAGUUUUAAUUUUCUUUCUGUUGCGUUUAUAAACAUAAAAUUGUAUUAAGAAAGUGUGAUGUUCUUUGUUUUAUUUGAUCAAUGAAAGACUUAUCACUUCUAAAAAAAAGAAAGGAAUUGGGGUCCUUAGUUAAAUUGCCCUCUUGGUUGUAUAAAAUUACAAGGGUAGGGACUAGGGUUGGUCAUGAGAUUAGCACAGUUUCUAUAAGUAGAGAGUGAUGUCAAAAGGAUGCUUGUAAAAGGGGGAAGAACUGCUAAACUUGGCAAGCCAUUUCAUGGAUAAUGGGAUUAUGGGAAUGGGAGACCCACCUAAGCAUGAUCAUGAUCAUGAUGGUACUACUAUUUUAUAUCAACCCCUUUUUCUGGGGGGUGCUAAUAUUAAUAUAUGGUUCCAAUUAUAUUUUCCACUUCCCCCUUGUGUUUGUUGUGGGAGAUUUAUUUACUAUUUAUUUUGUUUGUUUUCUGAAUAUAAUGGGUCCACCAAUUGAUUUUGUAACUAAUUAAUUAGUAUUUAAUCUCAAUUUUUAUCAUGAUUAAUCAUGAAACAGAUAGAAGUUUGCUUUUUAAAGAAUAAAAUGUAGAGAGUAUCAUGGAUUUGAUUUGCUAUGGAAUUAAAACCAGAACACAGAAAUGUGAAAACCAUUAACCAUUGGAAGAAGGCAUAUAUAAAAAAAGAAUGUUUAAAAGCAAAUCCUGGAAGCCACGCAGUACUACUAUCUGGUGCUAUUCAUCUUCACUUGUAAGUGAGAGAUCUUAGGUUCGAAUCUUGUGAAUGAUGAAUUCGAUACCAAAUUAGGUUGCCUAUUGUGUGGUUUAGCCGAACUCUCCCUCCCCUAGUAUGAAAUAUAUCGGUGUACCAAAAAACAAAGAAAAAAAAAAGCAAAUCCUGGAAUAAUUUGGACUUACCAAAGAUGUUAGGAACUUAACCUUCCUUAGCCUUGAAGGUUUUGGUCACUUAUGCUUAAACUUUAGGGGUCUUUUAGAUGUUAGAUUAGACUUUAAGAGGUAUACGGCCCUAUAUAUGCUAAUGUGCUACCUUUGGAUGGAUUCCACUAGGUAAAAGGAACUCUGAGUACUUUUUUAAAUGGAAUAAAAAGUCACAAAAUGCUUCUCCUUACAAAGUUACCCCUGGAAAGAACACAGAAAAGCUGAAAAAUAGCAUGCAGAUAUUUGUGAAGAUAAGUAUUAGAGCGAAGAUAAGAACUACGUUUUUUUUUUCCUUUUCAUUUCUGACAUAUCUUGCGUUUACUAAUAUACUAAUAUGAAAAUAACAAAUAUUUAAUACGACAAAGAAUAUUUUUCUUCAUUUAUAAUAAAAUUUUAUAUCCGCCUAAUUCUAUAAAUAAUAUGUUUGGCUCAUUAACCCUAGAAACGCAUACAUAAAACCAAAAGUAAGAAGAGUCCGAAUUUUUUAUUCUAAUUGCGACCCCCAAAAAACCAAACGAAAUCUGUCACAUACAAUUCACAUUGCUAAAACUCCAAUUGUUGGACACAGAUUUUUCACAUGCAUGAAAGGGUUCAUGUCACUCAAGCAUCUCCACUCCCCAGACAAAAUCUGCAGGUGAAUUGUAAUUUAUGGGGGACAAGGAUACUUUCGAGAUUCUUUUUGUAGGGAUUCGAUGAUCAAUUAAUUUUGUUCGUUUAUUUUAUAUUAUACGAUCAAUUUUUAUUAGGUAUUAAUUAUAUUUAAUUUUAAAUUAAAAUUAUUUUGUGGGGAUUCGAUGAUCAAUUAAUUUUGUUCGUUUAUUUUAUAUCAUAUGGUUAAUUUUUAUUAGGUAUUAAUUAUAUUUAAUUUUAUAUUAAAAUUUUUAAAUAAUUUCUAAUUAUAUGUUGUACGAUAAACAAAUACUAUUAAUUGAUCAUUCAAAUCUCUCACAAAGAAUAUCAGAAGGGAUCCUAUUCCAUUUAGGGGGAGAGAGAUGGGGUAAAUUUCAGAGACAACAAAAUGUGAAUAAUUGGGACCAGAAGAGAGUGGGUGGCUGAUGAACUUGCAACGUUUUCUUUGCACUUUUGGCACUUUGCAGGCACAUUGUUCAAAAUUUGGCCCAACUCCAAGGGCAGGGAAAAUUCCAACGAACAAAUAAGAAGAAAAAUAUAAAAUUGGAAUGCAUGAAUGAAGAGAAAUGGAAACGUGGCAGGGUGCGGGAGGAGGUGGUGCGUCGCUACAGUGCACGAGAGAAGGCACGUGGAAAAGAGUAGCCAUGAAAACUGCAACAAGCAAGCUAUAAUUAAGGAUGGAAAAAAAUUCUCAAAAAUUCCGAACCAAAUUGAAAAAAUAUCGAUCCCAAACCGAUUUUCCUAAAAUUUUCGGGAUGCUAUCCUGAAAAAAUACCGAAAUUUCGGUACAAAAAUCGGGAUUGUCUUCCCAAUAAUGAAAAAAUCAUGUUACUUUAUUUUUCAUCCCUGCAACAUAAAGAUAUGAAUGAUUAUGAUAUGUGUUAUGUGUUAUUCUAUUUCAUUGAUAGGAAUCACUUUUAUUGGAAGUAACACAAACACCAGUGUCAAAGUUGUUGAAGAAAGUAAAGAACAUAAACACCAUAAGUGUAAUGAGUAUUUGACAAAAUCACAAAAAGGUAUGUAACUUUUGUAAUAGGUUUGCCUUCUAGUGUAUUCUUAAAUGGUAAAACAACUCCGUUCUAUAGGUUAUAAACUUAUAAAUGCAUCUCAAUACCAAAAAAAAAGAUAUCAUAUAAAACUUAUCCGCGGUUGCACUGGUGGUUGUUUAAGAGUUUAAUGUUGUCUACCGAUAUCGUUUGAUCAAUUCAUGCAUUAUUCCUUCUACCUCCUCAACUUCAUGCCAUGUAACUCAUCGGGAGUAUGAAGUUGAAACUAGUAAUGGAAGAACAAUCACAAAACGAAGGAAAACAAGAAGCACAGUAAUGUUUGAAGUAUGUACCUGAUUAUUUCAGUGAAAAUAUAACAGCUAUGGGAAUUGGGAAUACAGAAUCACCAAAAGCCCAAAAAUAUUUCGGGAUUCCCGAUUGUUCCGAAAUACCGAAACUAUUUUGGGAUUUCCGAAAUUUUGGUUUGAGAUCGAUCUUGAAAUUAAGAAUACCGAAAAUUUCAGUUUGGGAAUUGUCUCUAAGAUUUUAGUUCGGUAUCCCAUACCGAACCACCCCUAGCUAUAACUAAUAAGUAGAUAAUAUAAUGACGUUAAAAUGGUACAUACAAUAUAUAUAUGUUAUUGCAAGGUAUUGAAUCAAGUAUCCGACAAGACAAGCGAUGGCGUAAGCUGACGUGGGUUUGCUGGUUUGAUCCCCGACUGCGCCUGCAAUCUGCAUGCUCACCCAUGCAUCCCGGCGCAAUGCAGCCCUCCUCUCUUUUAACUUAUUUAAUCGCUUCCAAAGUCCGCCGCCCUUUCCUGCUUCCCCGGCGACUCUUAUCAUCCUGCAAUCCACAAACCUCCUCUCUUUUAACUACAAUUCUUGUAUAUGUUUAUUAGUGUUGUUGUGCCACUAUCACUUAAUUACUAUCACUACGUAUGUAUGAUAACUAGGAUGUUGUCUUGUAUUCAUUGUCUUUCUUCUUACGUUGUCGGACUAUGAAUCUAAAUUAUAUAUGCAUCAUAUUAAAGUUAGAUAAUUUAACAACAUAACAUGUUAAAUUCAACAACAAUAUGUCAUCAAUAUCCCUUUUAUUGAAUCUAAAAUAUUCAUUGAGUGGACAUUUAUUUGAAUGUGUAUAUCCAUAUAAAUACUACGACAAUACAAUAUUAUCAUUCAUUGAAUUGGUGAAUCUAAAUUGUUCAUAAGUUUGAAGAUUAUUUGAAUAGUUUGCAUGGAAGUAAAUAAUUCAGAUUUACAUACAUAAUUUAACAGCAUAGCAUGUCAAAUCCUGCAUCAACAUACAUUAUCAUCAAUUAAGCAUGUUAUAUGAAUCCAUUGGCAUUGAAUUUCAUGGACAUUGUUACAACUUACAUCAAUACUUUGACUAGAGGAAUGUAAUUGUAAAAAAUUUCACAUUUUGGAUUUUUAGAGGGUUAAACUUCAAAGUGUGGUUGGAGGAGAGAUUUGAGUUUUUUAAUUUGCUUGUAUGACAAAUGAUAUAAACACAUCCAAAUCCACACUUAAUUUCAACACAUUCUUAAACAAAAGACAAGAAAACAGGAAAUCCAGGAUUUCUUCCAUUUUGGCAUGCAUGCUCAUGUUCUAUUGGAAGAGAGAGAGAGAGAGAGAGAAUGAUCACCAAUUAUGGAUCAUGCACCUACUGGCAAAUAAAUGAAAUAAUAUAUUGAUUUUUUAGUCAAAAUAGUAUCUGAGAUUGAUGUAAUUCUUCAGUUUAGUCCUUAAUGAUGAAAAUCGAUUGAAGUGGGUCAUGUGUUUGUUCAUCGUAAAUUAUUUUAGUAUUUUGUUAAAUUUUCUAUUAGUACGAUGACGUGGGACAUGAGUAGUCUCAAGGACCAUUAAGUAUGAAACUGUCAGCAAAGGGCUCAAACCCUGACAAUACCACACAGGCAAUGGAGUUCGUGAAUUGUGAUGGUCUUUGUUAAUUGUUUUUUAUACAUGUUAAUGUCUUACAUUUUAGAAAAAAAGAGCUACCCACUUGGCCCCCUUGUAUGCUUAAUUAAAUUUAAUAAACCCAAAACCGCUAAAACCCCAUAGUUUGUCAGAAAGAUUACUAACUAAUUGUUUAGGUUUUGAUUAUAAUUAUUAUAAUUAUCAACCUUACUUUAUGGGCCUUAAUUAUUAAAAUGUCCCACAUCAAUUCCCUAACCCUUCUUUCCUUGAAGCUUCUUAGUGUUCUUCUGCACCUCUCCCAGUCGCCCACCAAAAACAGUCGUGCAUGUAUCCCUCUUAAAAUAAGUGCUUCAAUCAUGCACUUUUUGACCCCAAAAAAUAUGUCUAACACCCAAUGCCUUUGUGUUUUUUAAUCAUUUAGUUAAUUUUUUAAAAGAAACAAUAUUUUGUGUUUUUAAUCAUUUGUCAUUAAAAAACUUAAUUAUUUUGACAAAUGACCUUUUUCUGUUCCUUUCUCACCACCAUCUCCCUUUCAAAUCUUUGCUGGCCUUUUUGUCUGUUUAUGAGUUCAUGUUGGAAACAUAUGUUGUUUUGGGCUCUGCUUUCAUUUGGGCUAAGGCCUAGAUGUAUAUAUAAAUACAAGUACUCUUUACGUAAGACGUCCGUUCUUUAUUAAAGAAAAAAUACGGUUACGGUGUUACUGACACAUUACCGACUCCCCGUUCUCUAACCUGUGCUUCAUAGCCGGACUAUAUGUAAAGAAAGAAUAUAUUCAGAUUCUUUGUAUUUCGAUAAAGAACGGACCUCCGUUCGUUCAACAUAUAAAAGAAAGAAUAUAUUCAGAUUCGGGAUCAAUUUUCUAAUAAGAAAUUAUUAUUUUGAAUGAGUUAUGAGAUUUGCAUUCUUUUAUUUCUGGUUUGGACUUUAUUUUCUUCUGUUCGGUAAAUUAAUUGAAUUUUGAGCAGAGAUGUUGGCAACACAAACAAUGAACCCCACCAACCGGAUAAAAGCAAAUCCUACUCAAUUAUGUGUGGAUUAUGAAUUCAGACAAAACCCUGGAAAAGAAUCCGAUCUAACUAAUACUUAAACCCUAGUUGUUAGAUUUGAACAUUUUUAAAGGUUGGACAACAUAUCGCUUUAGCAUUAUUUUUAUCAGUGCAGAUUGCAGAAAGUUGAUAAAAAAAAAAGUAGGGUAACGUCAUUACCAUGAAAGUUCUUGAUGCAGAGCACUCUAUCCAUGCAUGGCUGUCAGGGCCCCACCUCUCUUUAGCUCCUUAAGAUUUGGAAAGACUCGAGCUUUGGUCAAAUAGGUUCUGCAAUCUGCAUAAUCAAAGAAUACAAAGAAUGCAGUACUAAAUAAUUGAACAGAUUUUCAACAAAUACAAAGAAUUUGUGUCCCCUACUCGUCCUAUGAAUUCAACAGGAUGAUUGAGAUCAUUAAAAAUAUAGAAGAAAUGAGAUACCUUAGAUUGGAUGUGGCUUUCCUUCUUCUUUCCUUGCAAGAUUGGAUCUUGGGUUUUGGCUUUUUGUUGAACUGCAGCAAAAGGAAUGGAUAAUGCCCCUUAAUCCAAAAAUAUUUCAGUAAAUCAACACACAAUCGGAUAGAAUAAAAAGGAACAAAAUAUUACUGUUAAUACUUCAUAGUAGUCCCUACAUCCGAUUCAAUGAAACUUGUAUGGAAGUUUUAGUUGUUCCCAUCCGUAUAUAUAUGCCUAUUAGCUGCAGUUUGACAUGAAGUUCUGAAGACAUGAAAAGGAAAACAGAUUAUUAUUCUCAAGAAAAAAAUACAGAAAGAAAUGGCCAUAGCUGGUUAAAAACUUACCCAGAAAACAAGGCGACCUGCAUGUUCGAUGUGCAUCCUUGAUCCUUCCAAGUUUCAUUACUCCCUAACAGUUCGUACAGUAGUAUUUUUUAUGGAUUUUCAUUGUACUUUUUCCAAUUUUCGAACUCGCCAAGUAACCUAUUAGCAACGACCAUGAUGCAUCAGUCGGUAUUAGGUUCUCUCUGCCUGGUUGACAUGCUCUCGAACUAGAGAGAAGUCUGAAUCCAGGUGCUCAAGCUUUGUUUCGCACACUUAAUCAAGGCCCCUGAAAGGAGGAAACCUUUUGGUAGAAGACAUUUCUACUUGCUAUGUGAUCAUAUGGUGUAUAUCCUACUUCAAGUUGCAGUAAAUUUCAUGUUAGCUAUAAUUUCAAUGAUAAUCAUAUGCUGUAUAUCCUACUUAAAUCAACUAAAAUUUCAAUGAUACUUUUAGUUUCAUAUUAUCAGUUGCAAGUUACGUUCUUGGCACCUUUACCUUUCACACACUCAACUUUAGAACUCAAAGGAGUAAGUUUCCAGUUCUAUUGCCUAAUACCUUGUCAAAGUAAGUAACCAAAAAUUAGAUCAACACUUGUAACGUUGGUCUGAUGGUGCUAAUGACUUGACAUUUAAACAAACCUUUACCUUCAAUUCCAAAAGCAAAGUAGUUAUUUUUAAUUAAGGUGAGUUUCUCCCGACUGGGUUUGGCAUGGAAAACAGAAGCAGGCAUUGGCUACUUGCAAGUCACUUCAUAUAAAAACAAUUAAAAGUAUAUAUAAUUAUCAGAGUGUAACGGUUCUAACUUACAGAUACAGCAGAACUACGAUUCUUCUAUAUCCAAAAUCGCACUUGGAGCAUACCCAGUACGCCUCAGAUGAUCUGUUAACUGAUCAAGCAUGGAGUAUAUACUGCUUGAAGUUUCAUGUCUCUUGUCAUCAACCAUAAAUUCGUAAACACGGCCAUCAAUUUCGAUCGAGCUCACUGCUCUACUCUUUAUGGAUCCACCGUCUUUUAUUAGUUUCCUGAUGUUCUUAACAUCCUCCCAUCUGUGCGCUUCACCAAAUAUGUUUGCUAGAAGUACAUAAAGUCCAGAACCAUGCAGUUCCAACUCCAACAGCUGCUUUAGAAUCAGCUUUCCCAAAUCCACAUUUCCAUGGAUCCGACAAGCACCAAGUAAAGCACCCCAAAUGACAACAUCAGGCUUCAUUGGCAUUCCUCUUACCAGCCUCAUUGCUUCUUCUAAAAGUCCCGCUCGCCCCAGCAGAUCUACCAUGCAAGCAUAGUGCUCAAUUUCAGGUGAUAUUCUGUAAGUAGACUUCAUUUUUUCAAAGUAAUGUCUCCCUAAGUCUAGAAGACCACUGUGACUGCAAGCAGAAAGAAGUCCGAUGAAGGUGAUCUCAUCCGGCCAGAUUCUACCUGCUUGCAUCUGUUCGAAUAUCCCGAUUGAUUCUGAUCCGCGACCGUGCAAUGCAAGGGCCCCGAUAAUGAUGUUCCAUGAUACUACAUUCUUUUCUGGUAUCAGAAUAAAGAUGUCCAUGGCAAUUUCAACAGCACCACAUUUUGCAUACAUGUCCAUAAGGGAAUUAAAAAGGGUUACACUGGGUGCAAUAUUGCUGUUGCAAAUGUAAUUAUGGGUUUUCCUUCCAAUGACCAAAUCGCCAAUUUGACUGCAGGAUGAAAGGACAGAAACCAAGGUAGCCUCAUCAGGCACCACACUCGAAUUAAGCAUUUUCUGGAAUAGAUCCAAAGCCACCCUGCACUGGCCUUCCCGUACAUAAUAUGAGAUCAUUGAAUUCCAAGAAACCACAUUUUUAUGUGGCAUCUGGUUGAAAAACUCCUGGGCAAAUUCAAUGAGCCCAUGUUUAGUGUAUGCUCUAACCAUUGACGUCCAGGAAACCACAUUUUUGUGAGUCAUUUGAUCAAAAAUCUUUCGUGCCAAGUGCAAAUGCCCACACUUGGCAUACAUAUCCAGAAGAGCAUUUCUCACAAUUUGGUCAAUUUCAAUCCCACUAACCUCAAUAAAAAGAUGCACAUAUCUUCCCAACUCCAAAUCACAAGCUUGUGAACAAACAGAGAGUAAAUUAACCAAAGUAAACUUAUCAGGCUCAACCCCCAGAUCUCUCAUCUCCCUAAACAACAACAGAGCCUCCUUGCACGAACCCAUUCUAGCAUAGCCACCGAUCAUUGAAUUCCAUGAAACCAGACUCCUCUCAGACAUAUCAUCAAACACAUUCUGAGCACACCGGAUCAACCCCCGAACACUAUAGACAGUAAUAAGGGCAUUUUGCACGCAAACUUGAGACUCAAUUCCUAGUUUAAUAGCCUGGCCAUGAACAGCCACGGCUUCCCAAUAUGCGGACUGUCCCACGCAAACCUUGAGCACAAAGGGCAACGUGAACUCGUUUGGUGAAAGACCUGAACCAACCAUUUGGCAGUAGAGUGAAAAGGCCUUAAAUGGGUCAUUACUAUUUGAGUAACCCCUUAUAAGACUAUUGUACAUAAACUUAUUUGGCUCAGGAAUUUGGUCGAACACAAGCUGGGCGUAGCGGAGAUUUCUGGGAUCGGAGACGGAGCAGAAGGAUAUGAGUUUUCCGAGGGUGAGGUUUUCGCUUGUGAGGCUGUGGAGGAUGAUUAGGGCGUGGAGCUGUUUGAGUUCUCUCAUGGAGGAGCAUUGCUCAAGGAGGAGAUGCAGGGUUUGGUGAGUGGAGUUUUUGAAUUCGUGGGCGAAAUUGGUGGGCUUUGGAGGGAGAGUGGGGUGUAGAGAGUGAAAGAAGCGGGAAGCAACGGUCGGAUUUUUGGGAGUAAAGAACAUGGCCGUUGGAAUUUUGGUUUGGAGGCAAAUGUAACGGUAUUAUGAAUUAUAAAGAUACCUUGUUUUUUGUUUGGGAAAUGUUAUUAGCACUCCAAAAAUCACAUUCUACACUCCUCAUAAGUGUAUUUUUCUUUCUAAUUAUAGAAAGUUUGGAGUUCAAAAUGAAAUUUUUGGAAUGCCAACAACAAUUCCCUUUUAUUUGGGUUGAAAAAUAUCAUAUUGCAAAAACAACUAGCGUUUAAUUUGUAUGGAAGAUCUCCAAACGAAUCAUUGUGCAAGCUUAAUUUGAACCCCUCUUCACUAAAAUGGACAUCGCCUAAAAAACAAAGCCAUAUUAUUAAUUUUUAUUUGAAUGUAUGAUUUAGAUUGACAGUCUAAUAAGAGAAAGUACAACCCACAAUGGUGCCAUUCAUAAUGUUAGUGUUAUAUGUUCUAAACCAAAUGACCCAUAUGUAAAGUUGUUGAAUUAUCGGAUAGACGGCCCAAAGAUCCACUUCCAACAACAUUGAUAUUGUCAUCAACUUGGUAAUUACCACAUACACAAUCUGUCAAGUGUGGGGUUUUAUCAUAAAAGACCUCGGUAUUAGUUGGAGUGGAGUUAAGAUAUUUAAACUCUUCUUUUUACAGAGAUACAGUCGAUGUGGGAUAUUUCAACGCCCCCUCACGUGAGACUCAAUUAGUGGGUCACACGUAAGAGAUUCACACAUCGGCGACCACAUAGAGCCAAGACAACUCACCCUACACGCGGGGCCAAGGGACUCACCAUCAUGGAGUAUAUUUUAACAUGCCCCCUCACGUGGGAUCAAUUAGUGGGUCACACGUAACGUGGAGCCAAGGGAACUCACCCUACACGCGAGGCCAAGGGACCCACCAUCAUCGUCCCUGGCUCUGAUACCAUGUAAAAUUAUCAGAGAGACGGGUCAAAUGCCCACUUCCAACAACAUCGAUAUUGUUCUCAACUUGUUAAAUAUCACUUGCACAGUCCAACAUGUGUAGGAAUUUAUACAAAAAAAGCUUCAAUAUUAGUUGGAGUAGAGUUAAGAGUAUUAAAAUUUUUAUUUUAACAAAAAUACGGUCGAUGUGAGAUAUUUCAACAAAAACUUCUUGCAAAUAUGGUUACAGGUGUCACUUGCAUUUACAAGUGAUUAGAAAAACAACUUAUUCCUUCUUCAUAAAAUACAACUCAAAAUAACUUUGUAAUAUACAUUUCUCAAAGCUUCAUCUCAGACGACCCUAUUUGUAUCUCCUAAAAGUUUCUGCAUAUGACACCAUUGUUUCAAUUUCGGCGGAGCUCAUUUUCUGUAUAUGACACAACAGCCGGCAAGACUUUUACAAAGAAGGAAGAAGCCAAAGAUUGAAUAGAGAGGAACCUAGUGAAAGAAACCAAGAAAGGAAAGCCAUUGCAGCAGAUAACUGAUAUCUAGUACAUAACUUGGCAGGGCAGUAGGAUCUACCGAGAUGAAGUAGGAGAUAUGUGGUACUAGCCGUUGAGCAAGCUGCAGCGAGUGAGAGAUAUGACAACGCCUGUGAUGAAACGAACAUAAUAUAUUCUUAAGUUGGGAAAACGAAGAAUUUGUUCUUAAUGAGAUAAAUAAGUUUAUAGACAAAAACACAUACCAAGUCUCCUAAAAUAAUUAUUGUAGUUAUUCUUGGUCGACGAGGCAAAUAUCUAAAGAAGACAGAGUAGACAUCCACGAUCAUCAACGUCAUGCUCCAUGGAACUACCAAACCCAUUACUGUCACCAAAUAGCUGCAACGCAAGCAAUGGUAAGAGUUACUACUAUAUAUUAAUAAAAAAGUUCUCGUUGAGCACUUUCAUCUCCUUCAUUUUGCAAACGUGAAAUAACCGAGACAACAUAAAUCUGGUAAUGGCUAUAAUGGACAAUUCAAAUAGCACCAUAGAAUCAUUUCAGUUUACAGAUUAGAACAUGAAGAAACAAACGUUGCAGGAAAAGUGACUUGAAUUUGUUAGGUUUUAGAAGUUGAAAAGUUCUUAACUGUUAAAAUUUCUAGCUCUUCGCCACAAGACUUUUAGAGAUGGUAAUAUUUUACAGGUUCGAGAAGACACCAAUAAGGACAAGUUCAGGGUGAGGUUAUUGAUUGGAAGUACAUUUGGAGCAAUGGAAGCAACACAUACAGUUGAACACAGUAGACUUCUUUGGACAUGUCAUUAGAGCAUAAAUUCUUAAAGACUAAGUCAAUGACCAACAAAAACAGACGUGCAAAAUUAGCUUUGUGAGAAAAAGAAAAAAAGUCAACUAAGAGCAGAUGAUACCACAAUGUUCUACAAUGAGAGUUUACAGAGUCUUUUCAUUUCCAUGAGAGUUUACGCUUAAAAUGUUUGAAGGCUGAAAGAUUUUGCUUCCAAUUCUCUGUUGAGUUUUUGGUUUCGAAUCUAGAUUCACAUCUUACGGGCCAUAAAACCAGUUAAGUCUAUCAAGAAGCGGUUUUGAUGCUCUACAAUGUUCUGAUGACUUCAAAGCUGCUAAAAUUCGAUAGUGAAUUACAGAGUCCUAAACAGUUCAUUCUCUACAAAAAAUUCCAACAUAUUUACUUGCUCAAUUAGGAGAAACUUAGAAACAGUUGCAUAUACUGAAAAUUCUUCAUCAGUAAGCCCAACUAUAUAUUAUUAUAAUCUUUUGCAUGUAUAGAAUAUGUUAAAUUUUAACCAGUUCAAUCUCCAUAUGAUCUUUACAGAAACACAGUUUCCAGUUCUUAACAAAGCCAAAAGUCAAUAUCCAGCCCAAGAAAUCAAAACAGAAUUGCCAUCAAAUUCAGAAACAGAGACAUGGGUAUUGAACAACAAGUCAAAAUCACAAAAGGGUCCGAUGAAAUUCAACUAAGAAACUCCAAAUUCGAAGAAUUCGAAAGUACCAGAAGGCGGUGUAGCUGUAGAACUCGACGUCCAAGCACAUGAAGAGAAGGGAGGCAGUGGAGAAGAUGGUCUGCCCGAAUCGCAGAGCCAAGCUGGCGCUGGUUCCCAACGACCCCGGCAGUUCAUCCAUGCUUGCAAUUGCAUGCAGCAGCAACAACAACAAGAACUCCUCAUGGUAAACGAAAUUCAAGAACAAUUCUUCUCAGCCACAUGACCAAAUAGUUGUGGCAAAAAUGGAGUUCCAAAUAAUUUUGGGGAAAUAUGGGAACUGGGUUUUGAAGGGGGAGAGGAGGACUUGCUUUGGUGGGAAGAAUGGUAAUGGGAAUGUGAAUCGUUGUGGUGAAUUGUCAAGGAAAAGGAGUGUUGGGGAGAAAAGAAAACAAAAGUGAGAGAGACGUAAAGGGUACGCAGAUUUUGGUGGGUUUUUUGGCUUUGGCUUUGGCAUCUCCUCCAUCAUUUGGGCAUAAAUGGUAUAAUGUUCUUAUCGGGUAGGCAGGGAGUGCGGCAUCUUCUCCUUCAUUUCAUCCCGCUUAAUUUAUUAUUAUUAUUAUUAUUAUUAUUAAUUUUAUUAUAAGCGAUAUUAUUACUCCGUUUAUAUUUGUAUUUACAUAGGGUUUAAUUCUAAAUAAGUUUUAAAAAAUAUAAUCAUAGAGAGUGACUAUAUGACACAUAUAUACAAUCACAAUGAUGUUUGUGCACCAAUGAAAUAAAAACAUAUAUAAAUUUUAUUCAUAUAUUCUUAUUUCAUUGGCAUGUGGUGAUGUACCCGUAAUUUCUCAACCAUUAGGGCAAAACCCAAAAAUUAUUAGGUGGAUAAAAAUAGUGUUUUUUCUCUUUUUCUUUUUCCUCAAUAAGGUUCUUUGAAUCAAAGCGUAUAAAGUAAGGGAAUUGGCUUUAAAUUUGCUAUUAUAUGUCUUUGUUUUAUUUUGCAUGAUUAAUUGCCGAGUGUAUUUUAAUACAGGUUGGAUACAAAAGAACCAAAAAGUAGUACAAAGCUCAAAUGAAACUUAACAAACUUCAUUUCUCACUUAACAUGUAUUUGAUCUUCAUGAACACAACCCAGUUGGUUUACGACUUUACUAUCACUUACAAGUGAAAAAAGACGAUAAGUCAAAUAUAAUUAGAUUUCAAACUUAACAGUGAUAUUAUACAUCUUUAUCAUUCAUGUAAGUCAAAAUUUAGACCUCUACUUAUGAGCGACAAAAAAAAUAUUACUAAACCAUUUUUUUUAGGAAUUUUAACGAAAAACUCACGGUACUAUUCACUUUAACCAAAAAUCAUAUUUUUACACUAAAAAGUCAAUCAUGGUACUAUUCACUUUACCUCUUAUUUUGUCUUUAUCAUUAAAAAUCAAAGUUUUUAAACCCUUUUCAUUAGUUUUGCUUUUUUUUUUUAGUUUUUCUUCUUUAUUAUUUUUAAAGUCUAUAUGAAUGUAGCUUUGUCAACAUGUUAUCUUUUACCCAAAUCACAUCAUUUUACUAGUAAUAUUAUAAAAAUUGAGACAAUGUCUAUUGAAGAACUAAUAUUUAAUUAAAUGUUUGAUGCUUUUCAUUUAAACUAAUAUACAAUAAUUUCCCAAAUAUCAUGGUUCAAUGGUCUCUUUCAUAGAGGGUUUAAAUAUUAUUUCAUAUAUGAAUAUAAUAUAAUUACUUUCAAGUUUUGCCAUACAAAACACAGAGAAUUAUAAUCACACAUUUAAAAAAUAAAUAAAUAAAGUUUGACAAUCUUGAAGAGAAUACUACCAAAUGCAUGUCACUCAGUCCAAAUGUCCAAUUUGUGUGGCUCACCAACCACAUAAAAGGAUAUGAGAAAGCAAUUAGCGUAAAAAGAUGAUGUCGAUGAUCAUAAUUUAUUAUAAUCAAUAUUGCUCGUUACUUUUUCACAGCAAAUCGUUGUCUGACGCAUUUAUAAAAGAAACAGUUUUUACGCAUGUCAAAUUUUGACGUAUAAUGAUUUACCGUUAAAGAAGUUUGACUCCUUAAAAGAUAAUGUACAAGAAAGAUAAUACAUACAAGAUAAUAGGCAUGAUAAUAUACAAGAAGAUAAUGAUCUGAGUGAUCUCAGUGCUUGUUGUUCAAUUGGGUUACAAAGAGAGUUGAGCAACACCUUUUUAACUUAUAGCAAAAUCUGAAACCCAGAAUCACCAUUAAUACAUAGAGGAAAACGAAACUAAUCAAGCUGAGCAUACCAAACUCCCUGGAUUUUGACAUCCUUUGGAGUCUUGGCUCCCAAGUCAGUGUCGGAUGGCUGAAGGCUCUCGAACACCCCAAUCAACUCACCAGUCUCAGGCUUGGUCUUUGUCACACUCAGUGUUAUCUUCCCCUUCGAUGCUGCUGUAUUCUUGGUGUUCUCCUUUGCCAGCUCCUCCUC
RNAcentral lists this long non-coding RNA (15016 nucleotides) under Malus domestica (apple). RNAcentral describes it as "long non-coding RNA (MDOM_LNC001575)". Lineage: Eukaryota; Viridiplantae; Streptophyta; Magnoliopsida; Rosales; Rosaceae. The record is from RNAcentral.